RNAcentral lists this ribosomal RNA (292 nucleotides) under uncultured Planctomycetota bacterium. RNAcentral describes it as "uncultured planctomycete partial 16S ribosomal RNA". Lineage: Bacteria; Pseudomonadati; Planctomycetota. The record is from RNAcentral.
GGACUACCAGGGUAUCUAAUCCCGUUUGCUCCCCUGGCUUUCGCGCCUCAGCGUCAGAAAAGGUCCAGUCGAUUGCUUUCGCCAUCGGUGUUCCUUCCGAUAUCUACGCAUUUCACCGCUCCACCGGAAGUUCCAUCGACCCCUACCUCCCUCCAGCCGGCCAGUAUCCGAGGCACUUUUCCGGUUGAGCCGAAAGAUUUCACCCCAGACUUGACCGACCGCCUACGCGCCCUUUAUGCCCAGUGAUUCCGAACAACGUUUGCACGGUUCGUCUUACCGCGGCUGCUGGCAC